RNAcentral lists this ribosomal RNA (473 nucleotides) under uncultured bacterium. RNAcentral describes it as "bacterial SSU rRNA". It matches the Rfam family "Bacterial small subunit ribosomal RNA", at positions 24 to 518 of the family's 1533-position model. The record is from RNAcentral.
UCAGGACGAACGCUGGCGGCAUGCCUUACACAUGCAAGUCGAACGAGGAUAGCAAUAUCCGAGUGGCGAACGGGUGAGUAACACAUGAGCAACCUGCCUCAAACUGGGGAAUAACACCGGGAAACUGGUGCUAAUACCGCAUAAGACCACGGCGCGGCAUCGCGCAGGGGUAAAAACGAUUUAGUGGUUUGAGAUGGGCUCAUGUCCCAUUAGCUAGUUGGUGAGAUAACAGCCCACCAAGGCGACGAUGGGUAGCCGACCUGAGAGGGUGAUCGGCCACAUUGGGACUGAGACACGGCCCAGACUCCUACGGGAGGCAGCAGUGGGGAAUAUUGGGCAAUGGGCGAAAGCCUUACCCAAGCAAUGCCGCGUGAGUGAAGAAGGUCCUCGGAUUGUAAAGCUCUUUGAUCAGGGACGAAACAAAUGACGGUACCUGAAGAACAAGCCCCGGCUAACUACGUGCCAGCAGCUGC